Molecule: RNA transcript, 2477 nt
Organism: Zingiber officinale
Lineage: Eukaryota; Viridiplantae; Streptophyta; Magnoliopsida; Zingiberales; Zingiberaceae
Gene name: calmodulin-binding protein 60 B-like
Exons: 11
Source: RefSeq, a predicted model, not a curated record
AUCGAAGACGACCAGUGGCGAGACUAAAGAUUCCAAUUUCCUUGCGAUUUCUCCUUCGCUCGCCUCACCAUGUAUAUAAGAGAGCGGAGGGCGCCUUGCGACUCCGCUAUUUCCAUCUCUUCGGUGUGCAAGCUACAAUGGCGUCCAGCAAGCGGCCACUGUCGGAGGGCGGCGACAUCGGAGAGGGUUCGGGGAGACUGAAGCGAUCCCGGUCCUUAUUCUCAGGCAGAGAUGCCAAUUGGCCGCGGAUCAGCCUCCCUGUUUUGACGCGAGAGGAUUUGCUUCCUCACAGAGCGAUGCAAGAAGUAAGGCCCCUACUCACUGAUUCUGCACCUCCAGUUCCCAGAUAUCAGCUGCGGUUCCAGAAUUGCUUGCCACCCUGUGUUUACACAUGCCACGAAAUAAUGGCAAAGGAUAAGGAUCCUCUUCAGAUUUCACUGGUGGAUACUGCCACAGGGGACUGUGUUGCUUCUGGUCCCCUGUCUUCAGAGAAUAUAAUGGUUCUGGUUCUCGAUGGUCAUUUUUGUGGUACUAAACAAAGAGACAAGAAAGAGUUCGAGAAUCAUAUUGUCCAUCAAAGAGUUGAUAAAGGGCCACUGCUUAAGGGCAAGCUGGUAAUUCAGCUGACAAGUGGUGUUGGGUAUCUUCAGGAUAUCAGUUUUACAGAUAACUCCUCUCGGAGACCAAGCAAGAAGUUUAGGCUAGCUGUUUGUUGUGAAACUGAAGGAAUUCAAGAAGGAAUAAGCAAUCCGUUCCGGGUAAAAGAGCAUCGUAGUUAUCUGAAUGAGAAGCAUCAUCCUCCAAAAUUAACUGAUCAAGUCUGGAACCUUGUAAACAUUCGGAAAGAUGGUGUAUAUCACCGAAGACUAACAGCUGCUGGAAUCCUUAAUGUGCAACAAUUUUUACAAGCUCUUUCUGUUGAUCCUGAGAAUCUGCGCAGGUUACUUCAGAAUGGCAGCUUACCCAAGAGAAGAAUUCCAGACAAGGAAUGGGAAGCAAUUAUUAUAAAUGCUCAGGAAUGUUUUCCAGGCGAUCAGCUUUAUUCUUAUGAUGUUGGGCAGGAUAGCACUCUCAUUUUCAACUCUGUAUAUCUGCUCCUUGGAGCAAAAGUUAAUGGCUGGUAUCAUGAUAUCAAGAACCUCAAUGCAACUGACAAGGCUUUUCUAGAGAAGUUGCAAAGACAAGCAUUUGAGUAUCAAGCGAGCAUUAAGUUAGAUGAUAUGUGUAUUCAAGAAUUUAGUGACUUGGUCACAGCAUCAAUCUCACUAAGCGUGCCAUGCCCACAAUGUUCAGUUGAAGCAUCUAGGCAAGUGAAGUUAUUUGAGUCUUUUGCACCACCAUACAGCCAGCUUGGACAUACUAAUCAGGAGGAUACAUCAGAACAAUUUCAUCCUCUUACAAUACCACCAACCCACGCUGCAUUUCCAGGACAAAACUUAGAGGAACUAGGAAGUUCAUGCUUUUCAGAUUAUGUUCAGCCAGAAGUCGAUAGCAGCAUGCCAGAUAUUUACAUACCAGAUACUUGCAACUUUCAAGAUGUGUUUCAGCUCGAAGAUUUGAUGGAUAACCAGGUAGGUGCUACUUUUACACUGUUAUUUAUGCCUCUAUGCAUCUACUUUCUCUAACCAUUUGGCCUAUAUUACUUGGGUAGGAAACCAGAUUAUGGGCAUAUGUUUCUUUUUUUUCCUCCAAAAAAUGAGGACAAUGGGAACUUGGUAGAAAGGGACCCAAAUUUGGGACACAAGUAUUUGGAUCUACUUCUACCUAUCACCCAAGACUCAAACUCAGACCCAAUAAUCCCUUGCUUGAAUCCAGUGUUGCGAUUAAUUUCCCUAAGCAACCAAGGGUUUGGUUUGGGACUGCUCUAGUGUCGCAAACCCCUAAUAAUAAGAUAUUAAAAUUAGGGCCUCACAAGUCUCCUCCUUCCUCCUCCCUCCUCCCUCCUCCCUCCUAUGCUGCUUGUUUCUACCUCUACAUGAGAAAGUGGAGCAGUUGCUUACUCUGGCUUGUUAACUUAUGUUUCAUACCCAUUUACAUGUCACGAAUAUGGGAAGGGGGAAAUGUCUAGUCUGAGUUUCAUUGCAUUCAAUUGGAUAGUAAUGCAGAAGUGAAUUUCUAUGGACUAUCAUCAAUUUCUAAUUUAGCGAGGCUACUUUUUCUUUGCUGCAUGCUCUAUUGCUAAAAUCUAACAGAAUAUAUCGUUGGUCUUCAAUAUCAAAUGUGGUUUAUAUAUAUUGGCUCAAGGUUGAUAUGAUAAACACACAUGUACAAACAAGAAAUUGUGAUGGAAAGAUCUACCUGAAGUGUGAUUUUUCCCAUGGUUGUAGCCGUCUAGGUCAUUGGUCUAGAUUUCAUUUCGAUUAGACAAAACUGAGCUGCAUCCUGAUGAAGUUUACCAAGGAAAAUGGGAAUAGGACCUCAUUGUGGUUAAACAGUUCGAGAAAAGGUCUGAAAUCAACAAUCACCCUGGUUUCUUC